AAAGGACGCGGUUGAGGAAUUGUUGAUAAAACCGAUUCACUUCGACACCGGCCUAACUGACAAGGAAAUAAUUGUGACUAUCCAGAUAUCAUCUCUGACGACUUAAAAGAAAAAUCUUUCAAUGAGUGGAAUAUUAAAAUAAAUCCAUUUACGGAUCCAUGUUUCAAAGCAGCACGAGACGCCAGAGACGCUACCCGAAGAAAACUUCAAACACUACCAGAAAAAAGGAUGGUACGAAUUUUAAAUGAAAAUACACCAGACGGUUUGCAAAAGAAGUUUUUUUUUUAAUAGCAUCUUUUGAAUUAGCUUGGCGUGGUCGUGAUGGAGCCAGUUGUUUCACAUACUAUUUUAAGCCAGAAAUUGACAAUAAAGGACUUAUUACAGCCCGGAUUGAAUAUAAUCCUGUCUUUUCAAAAACAGCACAAGGUGGUUCAAAACCAUUGACAAGUAGUAAAUGGUUAACCAAAAAUAAAGACCACCCCAACCUUUCCCAUUUUAUGUCGUGUAUUAAACUGUUCUAAUUUAUAGGCUGUAUCAUUACUAUUGAUGAAAAGAGGAAAUAACAUAAACAUCGACAGAAUGUUUUUAACACCCAAUCCUUUUUGGAACAAAAUACAAAAUGCACUGUGGUACGAAAAUAGUCCCGUUGAAGUUAAUGAAAUGGGUAAAUGGGUAAAGUCGUUAGCAAUAGUGACUGGUUUAGAUAUUAAAAGAAGGAAAAUAUCAAAUCAUUCUGUGCGCUCAUCAGCGGUAUUUGCUUUGGCUAAAGCUGGAGUUGAACAGCAGUCGAUGAAAAUCACAGGACACCAGAACGUUAAUUCAAUUAAACCAUAUUUGCAACUCGACGAUGAACAUCACAAAUCAAUUAUUAAUAGAAUACGAAAUAAUUCAGUUAAUCAAGUAAACAAUACUGUAAAUGAUAAAACGAUAAGUGAGGCUUCUUGUUUAUUACAAAACUGUACGAAUGUAACCUUUUCAAAUUGUACAUUUA
Long non-coding RNA from Zophobas morio, 991 nucleotides. RefSeq lists it as uncharacterized. Lineage: Eukaryota; Metazoa; Arthropoda; Insecta; Coleoptera; Tenebrionidae. The record is from RefSeq and is a predicted model, not a curated record. The transcript has 3 exons.